UUACGGCCAUAUCACAUUGAAACACCGGUUCUCGUACGAAGUUAAGCAACGUCGAGCCGGGCCAGUACCUAGAUGGAUGAUCUCUUGGGAAAACCAGGUGCUGUAAG
Molecule: non-coding RNA, 107 nt
Organism: Acanthosepion pharaonis
Lineage: Eukaryota; Metazoa; Mollusca; Cephalopoda; Sepiida; Sepiidae
Source: the annotation of a GenBank genome assembly